CACUGAGUGAUGGAAGGGAUGGAGCCAGGAUCCACCUCUUCCCAGCCCUCAUUUAAGGGCUGGCAGUGGAGAGGAGGGGUCUUGCUGGAGGUCCCUGCAUACCUGAGGCUUUUUGAAGGGACAGCAAAGGGAGAAGAUAACUGACUUGGCAGAGGUUGCAGUGAAAACCUGCAGUGGAGCACAGCCUCAAACUCUGCUUUCCCAACAUACCUUACCCCGAUUACAGGUUGAACCAUCACAGCAGAGGAAUAAUGUCCAUAUCCUUUCUUUACACCAAAAGAAGAUGCUGGAGGCAUUUGGCCUCUGGCUGAAAUUCAGAUUCCUCCCCUUUGAAUUGCAUCUUCUGCUAUUGCUGUGUUACAGCAGAGGAGUGAUGUCGGCACACCCGUGCUGGAUGCUGCCCACAUUCAGCAGCUCAGUUAUUGUUAUUGCUGUUGUUACAGAAUAAAUCAUUCCUUAAGCUCCUCUCUUCCAUGGCAGAUUGUCCAUGAAAGACUUGCAAUCUCUGCACGGAGACACAGGUUGACAGACUAAAUCAGAUCAGUAAUCAAAUCCAGAUCCCAUCUCCUACUACCUGCUAUGAGUUAUUGGUACCAGGAAGAGUGGAAGGAGAAUUUGCAGGCUGCAGUUCAGGAGGAAAGAAACAGGGAAGGUUUCUACUUAGAUCUGAGCUAGAAAAAAAAUGUGGAAAUCUCCCGUUUGCAUUGUUUAUCUAAUGGUAUUAACUCUUCUGUUUCUGGACAUGAGGGUAUAGCAGAUAUAACAUCUGCUGUCUGCAGAUGUGAAGGAACUGGAGCUCAGAACAGGCAUUCACAGCUGCUGACACCAAAGCGGGGGGCACAAGGGCUGAAUGGAGCAGGAAGGUUUCUCUUCAACCUGGACAGAAGUUAUUUGGAGUCCUGAUUCAUACAUGAAUGUCUUGUACUAAAACUUAUCAGCCACAGCAAUCCCCCAUUUGGCAUUUGUGGCACCAAGAGGUGAAAAUUUGCCCUCAGAACAGUUGGAGGAGGAACUGUGACUUGGAUCUCCAUGUUUCUUCAUUGAUUUUUGUUUUCCUUGUGAUGUAGGUCCUCUUGCUCGUAUCUUCUGAUACAAGCUGAGGUUUCCUUGCCCUCAAACUCAGCAUGGUCUCAUUGCCAUGGAUGAGAAAUCAGAGGAGCACAGCAGCACUGGUCCCUGUGCAGCUCUGCACUGAGGUCAAUACUGAGCUUGUUUCUCAUAAUAGAACUCCUCACAGAGACACAAGCAAAGCUAUGGGCUCAAAACUGCACUUGUUGCUUCUCUUAGGAUUUUUGGCUCUAAAUCAUCCCUAUUUGGAGCAAUUACUUGAUUUUUACAAAGGAUGAAGAUUGGAGUUGUGAUUAUUUAGUUGCAUCAAAAUAGAGUUUUCUUCAUUUGGCAGUGGAGAUUCAAAGCUUUACUUCAUGCUGUGGGGUUUUCUGGCAUGAAUUUCCAUAUCCCCCUGGUGUUGGCAGAGAGGGCAGUGCUGCCUGGGUGUGCAGCCCCCACCUUCCUGCUGCUCCAGGGGCAGCCAGUGCUGAGAAAGCAAAUGGGAGGAUGGAUUUCUUAUUGUACCAUUCUAAUAAAGUGACAGGGAUGGAGCUGGAUGCCUCCCGAUGUACAGCAAAAUCCAAACAAGUCUGAAGCUGCCCCUGCACCCUUGCCUCAGUUUUGCAUUUGUUUCUACAUGCGACUGAGUGCCAAAGUAUCAGCAAAGAAUGAGCAAGGCCCUUCUGCCACAGCAAAUAAAGCAGUGGCUCAGGAAUGGGGGCGAGAGAUCAAGCACCCAGUUUCUUUGUGCUGGAGAACCACAAGCACUCGUGGUUAGGUUUCAUCUCUCCUCAGGAGAGGUUUCCACUUUCCAGACCCAUGCAGGCACUCACCCCACCGCUGGGGGUUCAUGUCCAAGUGGGAUUGAAGUCCCCUGCCCCUAUUGCAAAGCACUGACAGCUGCCUGAAGCCUAGGGUUUAUUCUCUCUUAUGAAAAGCCACUUAUACAGACACUUACCUCCUUUUAUUUUUUCAACUGUAGCACCAAGUUUAUCCUCUCUCCUCCCAUUUGCACUUAUUCUUUCUAUAUUGCAGCUGCUGCUUGGUGAGGGGCACGCGUGUUUUAAAACACUGCAGUGGGGCUGCAGCUGCAUUAGCAGGAGAAAAACCUCAUAUUUGCCCAAAGGAGGAGUCAGAAUCCCAUCUGGAUUUAGCAAGCACUCCCACCCACAGAGGGUAAGGAAGGGUAGAUGUGUGUAUCAGGCCGUGGACGCUUCCACCCCCAAGACCUGAUUUGCCAUUGAGGGAGCAUUUCUAAUAGUUCAUGCAAAGAUUUUUGUGGAAUAAGGAGAGGAACCAAAGAGAUAAGGAGAGAAAACUUGGAGGAGAAGCGCAGCACCGGGCAGCCUACAGCCACAGGAGAGGGGAGGACACCUCUGCAAGGCACCCACAGCACUAUCCAUCCCUAGGGAUGAGCACUGAGCAAGCAGAUGCUGACCCCUGGGGAGGACCUGAACGGUGAAGGGCAGAAAAGGCAUUUCCCCCAGUGAGGGACCCCAGCUCUCCCUGUCCUUGGCAGUGCUGUCCCCUCCCCACUCACACCCCUGGGGUGGCUGCAUCUCCAUGGGGCCGUAUGUGAUUGCUGCACAGCCCCAUGGGAUGAAAGCUGUGUGCUUAGAUAUGGUUUAUCCCUUCCAACCCCUGAUGAUAAUCCGGGAUUAGUCCUUCCAGCGUAUGAUUACGUUUUGCCCACUUGCUUUGAAAUGACACCAUUCUGGCCCUUUUCUUUCAGCUUGUCCCACCAACCCUUAGGAAAACUGUUUGCCAGGCUCUGAUUAAACCCUGCAUGAAGCAAAGUCCCACCGGGAUCCCAAACAACUUCACGUGUCCAUUCUCUCCCCUUCUCCUCUGCUGAGCAGCCCUAUCUCUCUGACGUCCCCAUGGGGACAGGGCAUGCCUCACUAUGCACAAGUGCAUAUAUUCAUCUCCUGUAAUAAAUAUGCAGUUUUGCCAGCAGCAAUGACUCCUGACCAUCAUUCCCCCAGGCAGAUGGAUGCAUUGGAAGAAACCAUCUUGUAAUGUCAGCCGGGCUCCGUCUGGGAGCACGGCAUCAGCUGGGAAGCCAAUGCUGCUGCUCCCCAUUAGGUUUAUUCGCUAUCUGUGUUGCUGGGCCAUUAAAGGAGCUGUGUGAAAGCUGUCUGGCUGUUCACAGGAGCAGUGGAGCAGCAGGAGAGACAGCAGCCGUCCCUCAAA
Molecule: long non-coding RNA, 3243 nt
Organism: Tympanuchus pallidicinctus (lesser prairie-chicken)
Lineage: Eukaryota; Metazoa; Chordata; Aves; Galliformes; Phasianidae
Exons: 4
Source: RefSeq, a predicted model, not a curated record